Gavialis gangeticus (Gharial) is the source of this 693-nucleotide long non-coding RNA. RefSeq lists it as uncharacterized. The transcript has 2 exons. The record is from RefSeq and is a predicted model, not a curated record. NCBI's taxonomy places the organism in Eukaryota, Metazoa, Chordata, Crocodylia, Gavialidae.
GCCAUGGGAGCGCUGGCACUCACCCCCAGGGUGAGCGGGCUCUGGCAGCUGCUCUGUCCCCAGUGCUUGGCCAGAGGGAAAGCUCCCAAGGUGGACCGUACUCGGAAGCACUUGGCAUGCAACCAGUUGCUCAGUGCCCGGGUUGUUGGGCAGGUGAUGUGGAGACUUGUUGAAGGAUGUUCAAUGUGAAAGGGGCUUGCUGUCUUCUGUGAUGCAGUAGUGUGUGUGGGAGGAGCAGGGGGGGGUGCACAAGCCUGGCUAGGCUGCUUCCAGUACCUGGGCGACUAGCAGGGUUAGAGCUAGUUUGGGUGUUGACGCUUGGCACUGUAUUGUGCUGCCCAGGUGUCCAGAGGAGCAGAUAUAGUUGACGGGCUGUAUGGCGAAGGCUGCUUGCAGGCUUGAUGGGGCGCUUGAUGCUUUUUUUCUGUACGGCUUAUGUGGUGCACAGGAGGGGAGUUAUAGUGCUGCAGCCUGUCAACACGAUUAGGGCUGGAUAUCUGUUCUUAAGUACUUUAAGAGUUCUGUUGUUGUAGUAGGUACCUGCCAUGAGAACUUUUUAAAAUCUUGCAUGGGCAUCCCAGAAGAUGGGGCUGGGAUGGACCUAGCAUGGGCAUAUAAUCUAUCUUGGUGUCCCAAGGCAGGAUCACCUAUUUGUCUGACGUGCUCUUAAGUCCUCAAUGAUGGGGAGUGUAU